This is a long non-coding RNA of Phacochoerus africanus (Common warthog), 754 nucleotides long. RefSeq lists it as uncharacterized. The transcript is spliced from 5 exons. The record is from RefSeq and is a predicted model, not a curated record. NCBI's taxonomy places the organism in Eukaryota, Metazoa, Chordata, Mammalia, Artiodactyla, Suidae.
CUCCGCUUAACUACGUAAGGGGGGCGGUGUUAGUGCGGUGGCUUCCGGCCCGAAGCGGCGGUUGGUGACUCAGUAUCUUUGGGGCGCGUUUCUUAUCCCGGAACCGAAGGGCAAAAAGUCCCUUUGGAGUGGAGGCCUGCGUUCUCCAGCUCUUGACUCUGAGACAUCUCUGCCCAGCAUUGGACAUCUCUUUCCCGUGGAUGGCUGGACCUCGACCAAGGCAUGUGGAAGUUCCCAGGCUAGGGGUCAAAUCAGAGCUGUAGCUGCCAGCCUACACCACAGCCAAAGGACACAGGAUCCGACCCACAUCUGUGGCCCACACAGCAAUUCCUGGAUGUUAACCCACUGGAUUGAACAAGCAUCCUCAUGGAUACUAGUCAGUGACCUCAUGGCUGUAAAAAAAAAAAAAAACCUGCUGCAGCUCCAGGCAUCACAUCUUCCUACCAGUGACUGAAUUGGAAAGGAAGAGAGCAAUGAGGGCUCUCUUCUGUUGACACUCCAUCCCCAGGUCCCUUGACUGCCCUCAAUGGAACCAACAACCUUGGCUGCAACCACAGGAGGUUCUGACCACCAAUGAACCUGCCAAGAUCUCUGAGGAAGACGCAGUGCCAGCUGGAGGGUACUCUGGUCCACCUGUGCCUUCCUCUCAUGGAGGAACAAGCCAGUCAGGAAGCUGCACCACAGCCUGGCUCUGAGACUCCCAAGAACCAGAGGUGGUGAUUCACCAAAUUAAAAUUACUCUGCACGGCUGCAA